AUGAGCGACCAGUGCAUCCACCGCUUGCUCGCUGCUAGCCCCGUUCUGGAGAACCUUGGGCUCGUGCUCAAGGGGAAGCCCGAGCGUGUCCAUGUCUGCAGCCAAAGCCUCCGGUGCUUGCUCCUUGGGUUGUCCAAGGUGGAGGAGUUCACCGUGGUGGACGCCCCGCUCUUGGAGCGCAUCAUCUUCUUCAGGCCGCCUUAUGGUGGAACCGAUUGCGUGAGAUUCAAGAUUGCUUCGGCACCCAAGCUGCGGGUGAUCGGCUACCUGCAGACAAGAAUUCACAAGCUGCAGAUCAGUGACAACAUCAUCAAUCCUGACACAAACACGAGCCCAGGCACCAUGGUCCCUAGUGUUGAGAUAUUGGCCGUGAAGGUGAACUUUGGUGUAUUCUGGGAGGUGAAGAUGUUGGCCAGCUUUCUAAGAUGCUUCCCCAAUGUCAGCACGCUGCACAUCGAGUCUGUACCGCAUGAUCCAUCAGUAGCCACUCAUGAACCCACUGAAGAGCACUAUGCUAGGUUCUGGCAGGAGGCCAGUCCAGUCGAAAGCUUGAGGUUACAUGUCAGGAGCUUGUUCAUCCACAAAUUUCGAGGGGAUCAAAACGAGUUUGAAUUCCUCAAGUAUGUGGCCAUGAAUGCGCGGGAGUUGCGAGCUUUGCUGGUCAUGUCGCCUGAAGAAAAUUUUGCUUCGGCACUGGCAAACAAGGUGAAUGAGAUGGCAAACAAAUUGGAUCGUCCACGGUUUCAGCCAUGGAUCGCUCGAGGAUUCCUGGAGGCACCUCGAGUACGGAAUGCUUAG
Molecule: ribosomal RNA, 798 nt
Filed under: Triticum aestivum (bread wheat)
Lineage: Eukaryota; Viridiplantae; Streptophyta; Magnoliopsida; Poales; Poaceae
Description: partial small subunit ribosomal RNA
Source: RNAcentral